UCGUGCAUUCAAAGCUCACACUCAAACCUACGCGAUCCACAUCGGAAGAAUCACCAUUUCCCACGCUUCCAACGGCAAAAGGAUUCUUCCGGGUUCUAUUGUUCAUCAUUGUCUUAUUUGCUUAUUUAGAGCUUUUUUAAUCCUUUGUAAAAUCUUCUAUUGUGGUGCUUGUUCCAGUCAAGGGACUUGGAACAAGGGAAAGGCGUCCCAAGCCUAAGUGUAAUUGGGGGUUUUAGGAUUUGUUGUUAGCCCGGUGUAAAACAACGAGUUGGGUAGUGAACUCGCA
Molecule: long non-coding RNA, 286 nt
Filed under: Phoenix dactylifera (date palm)
Lineage: Eukaryota; Viridiplantae; Streptophyta; Magnoliopsida; Arecales; Arecaceae
Description: long non-coding RNA (PDAC_LNC016319)
Source: RNAcentral